This 376-nucleotide unclassified non-coding RNA is filed under the name soil metagenome. RNAcentral's name for it is "partial contains 5.8S ribosomal RNA, internal transcribed spacer 2, and large subunit ribosomal RNA". The stretch from base 1 to 120 matches the Rfam family "5.8S ribosomal RNA", at positions 35 to 154 of the family's 154-position model. The record is from RNAcentral.
GAUGAAGAACGUAGCGAAAUGCGACAAGUAAUGUGAAUUGCAGAAUUCCGUGAAUCAUCGAAUCUUUGAACGCAUCUUGCGCUCCUUGGUAUUCUGAGGAGCAUGCCUGUUUGAGUGUCAUUAAAUUCUCAACUACACUGACUUUGAAUUGGUGUGGCUUGGAUUUGGGGGGAAAAUUGUUGUGGGCUUUUUGUAUAGUCUGCUCCCCUGAAAUUGAUUAGCGGUACCUUUGUGGAACUGUCUACAGGUGUGAUAAUUAUCUACAUCUUAGACAUCUGCUGGAAUGCUGCUUUCUAAACCUUACUUGUAUUGACAAUCUUGACCUCAAAUCAGGUAGGACUACCCGCUGAACUUAAGCAUAUCAAUAAGCGGAGGA